AGUAACACGUGGGCAAUCUGCCCUGCACUUCGGGAUAAGCCUGGGAAACUGGGUCUAAUACCGGAUAGGACCUUUAGACGCAUGUCUUUUGGUGGAAAGCUUUUGCGGUGUGGGAUGGGCCCGCGGCCUAUCAGCUUGUUGGUGGGGUGAUGGCCUACCAAGGCGACGACGGGUAGCCGGCCUGAGAGGGUGUCCGGCCACACUGGGACUGAGAUACGGCCCAGACUCCUACGGGAGGCAGCAGUGGGGAAUAUUGCACAAUGGGCGCAAGCCUGAUGCAGCGACGCCGCGUGGGGGAUGACGGCCUUCGGGUUGUAAACCUCUUUCACCAUCGACGAAGGUCCGGGUUUUCUCGGAUUGACGGUAGGUGGAGAAGAAGCACCGGCCAACUACGUGCCAGCAGCCGCGGUAAUACGUAGGGUGCGAGCGUUGUCCGGAAUUACUGGGCGUAAAGAGCUCGUAGGUGGUUUGUCGCGUUGUUCGUGAAAUCUCACGGCUUAACUGUGAGCGUGCGGGCGAUACGGGCAGACUAGAGUACUGCAGGGGAGACUGGAAUUCCUGGUGUAGCGGUGGAAUGCGCAGAUAUCAGGAGGAACACCGGUGGCGAAGGCGGGUCUCUGGGCAGUAACUGACGCUGAGGAGCGAAAGCGUGGGGAGCGAACAGGAUUAGAUACCCUGGUAGUCCACGCCGUAAACGGUGGGUACUAGGUGUGGGUUUCCUUCCUUGGGAUCCGUGCCGUAGCUAACGCAUUAAGUACCCCGCCUGGGGAGUACGGCCGCAAGGCUAAAACUCAAAGGAAUUGACGGGGGGCCCGCACAA
This 820-nucleotide ribosomal RNA is filed under the name Mycobacterium sp. RNAcentral describes it as "bacterial SSU rRNA". It matches the Rfam family "Bacterial small subunit ribosomal RNA", at positions 109 to 928 of the family's 1533-position model. Lineage: Bacteria; Bacillati; Actinomycetota; Actinomycetes; Mycobacteriales; Mycobacteriaceae. The record is from RNAcentral.